Molecule: transfer RNA, 68 nt
Filed under: Nitidulidae sp. KM-2017
Lineage: Eukaryota; Metazoa; Arthropoda; Insecta; Coleoptera; Nitidulidae
Description: tRNA-Ser
Source: RNAcentral
AAUCAAUGAACUUGUAUAAGUGUAUGUUUUGAAAACAUAAAAAAGAAAUAAUAACUUUCUAUUGAUUU